GAAUGAUAACAAGUGAGUUGGGAGCAGAUGAUGGUAGAGCCAUUGAGAUGGCAGGGUUCACGUUAAAGUGUAAGAAAGCUAGAGAAUGGUUCAAGAACUAUGUGGACCCGAGACUUGAGAGUAUGACAUGGGAAGAGUUCGCCAACGAAUUUGCUGGAUGGGCUUUUCCUGACAGUUCUAGGGAACUAAAGGUUGUGGAGUUUGAGCAGUUGAGACAGACGGAGGAGAUGAGCGUUGAUGAGUAUACAGAUAAGUUUCUGGAAUUGUUGCCAUAUGUCGGUCAGGCAUAUGAUACAGAU
RNAcentral lists this long non-coding RNA (299 nucleotides) under Manihot esculenta (cassava). RNAcentral describes it as "long non-coding RNA (MESC_LNC004779)". The record is from RNAcentral. Lineage: Eukaryota; Viridiplantae; Streptophyta; Magnoliopsida; Malpighiales; Euphorbiaceae.